This 498-nucleotide ribosomal RNA is filed under the name uncultured bacterium. RNAcentral's name for it is "bacterial SSU rRNA". It matches the Rfam family "Bacterial small subunit ribosomal RNA", at positions 408 to 896 of the family's 1533-position model. The record is from RNAcentral.
ACGAAGGCCUUCGGGUUGUAAACCCCUGUCAGAGGGAAAGAAGGGUGUCGGCGCGAUAACCGUCGGCACUUGACGGUACCUUCAGAGGAAGCCCCGGCCAACUCUGUGCCAGCAGCCGCGGUAAGACAGAGGGGGCAAGCGUUGCUCGGAAUCACUGGGCGUAAAGGGCGCGUAGGCGGGAUGGCAAGUCAGUCGUGAAAUCUCUCGGCUCAACCGAGAAACGUCGGCUGAUACUGCCGUUCUUGAGGGAUGCAGAGGAGACUGGAAUUCCCGGUGUAGCGGUGAAAUGUGUAGAGAUCGGGAGGAACACCGGUGGCGAAGGCGGGUCUCUGGGCAUUUCCUGACGCUGAGGCGCGAAAGCGUGGGGAGCAAACGGGAUUAGAUACCCCGGUAGUCCACGCUGUAAACGAUGACGACUAGGUGUGGGGUGGUUCAGUCCACUCCGUGCCGCAGCUAACGCAUUAAGUCGUCCGCCUGGGGAGUACGGCCGCAAUGUUG